UACAGGGGAUGCAAGUGUUAUCCGGAAUUAUUGGGCGUAAAGCGUCUGUAGGUGGACUCUUAAGUCUUUUGUUAAAAAUUUAGGCUUAACCUAGAAAAAGCAAAAGAAACUAUUUGUCUUGAGUAUGGUAGAGGUAAAGGGAAUUUCCAGUGGAGUGGUGAAAUAUGUAGAUAUUGGAAAGAACACCAACGGCGAAGGCACUUUACUGGGCCAAUACUGACACUCAGAGACGAAAGCUAGGGGAGCAAACCGG
Molecule: ribosomal RNA, 253 nt
Filed under: uncultured bacterium
Lineage: Bacteria
Description: partial 16S ribosomal RNA
Rfam family: Bacterial small subunit ribosomal RNA
Source: RNAcentral